RNAcentral lists this ribosomal RNA (227 nucleotides) under uncultured bacterium. RNAcentral's name for it is "partial 16S ribosomal RNA". It matches the Rfam family "Bacterial small subunit ribosomal RNA", at positions 107 to 334 of the family's 1533-position model. The record is from RNAcentral.
UGAGUAACACGUAUCCAACCUGCCGUCUACUCUUGGACAGCCUUCUGAAAGGAAGAUUAAUACAAGAUGGCAUCAUGAGUCCGCAUGUUCGCAUGAUUAAAGGUAUUCCGGUAGACGAUGGGGAUGCGUUCCAUUAGAUAGUAGGCGGGGUAACGGCCCACCUAGUCUUCGAUGGAUAGGGGUUCUGAGAGGAAGGCCCCCCACAUUGGAACUGAGACACGGUCCAA